CGAAGGACCCAUGCGUUAUCCGGAAUCGUUGGGUUUAAAGGGUCCGUAGGCGGUCCUGUAAGUCAGUGGUGAAAGCCCAUCGCUCAACGGUGGAACGGCCAUUGAUACUGCAGGACUUGAAUUACUGGGAAGCAACUAGAAUAUGUAGUGUAGCGGUGAAAUGCUUAGAGAUUACAUGGAAUACCAAUUGCGAAGGCAGGUUGCUACCGGUGGAUUGACGCUGAUGGACGAAAGCGUGGGUAGCGAACAGGAUUAGAUACCCUGGUAGUCCACGCCGUAAACGAUGGAUACUAGCUGUUGGGAGCGAUCUCAGUGGCUAAGCGAAAGUGAUAAGUAUCCCACCUGGGGAGUACGAACGCAAGUUUG
This 366-nucleotide ribosomal RNA is filed under the name uncultured organism. RNAcentral describes it as "bacterial SSU rRNA". It matches the Rfam family "Bacterial small subunit ribosomal RNA", at positions 526 to 896 of the family's 1533-position model. The record is from RNAcentral.